GUGCUGCUUCUGCCGGUACACAGACUAAAAUUGGAACGCUGAAGAGGGGCCCGGCGUGGCCCUGUGCCCAGAUGACAC
Molecule: small nuclear RNA, 78 nt
Filed under: Cervus elaphus hippelaphus
Lineage: Eukaryota; Metazoa; Chordata; Mammalia; Artiodactyla; Cervidae
Source: RNAcentral